RNAcentral lists this ribosomal RNA (253 nucleotides) under uncultured bacterium. RNAcentral describes it as "partial 16S ribosomal RNA". It matches the Rfam family "Bacterial small subunit ribosomal RNA", at positions 524 to 776 of the family's 1533-position model. The record is from RNAcentral.
UACGUGUGAGGCGAGCGUUAUUCGUCAUUAAUGGGUCUAAAGGGUACGUAGGCGGCUUACUAAGUCAGGGGUGAAAUCCUGGAGCUCAACUCCAGAACUGCCUUUGAUACUGGUGAGCUUGAGUCCGGAAGAGGUGAGUGGAACUGCGAGUGUAGAGGUGAAAUUCGUAGAUAUUCGCAAGAACACCAGUGGCGAAGGCGGCUCACUGGUCCGGUACUGACGCUGAGGUGCGAAAGCGUGGGGAGCAAACAGG